UAACUUGGAUUUUGAGAAAACUCCACAUUGCAUCAACUUGUCAAUUGCGCAUUUUAGCAACCAAAUUGUAUAAACUGGUGUUAAGCUCUUCUGAAGUAAGUGGAAUGCAAAAUCAUGAAACGUUAUUAAGCUCAUUUUUUCGCCUGAAAAUUAUGAAUUUAAGGAGACAGAAAGACAGGGCACUAGAAAAUAGAGGAAAGAGAAUGGAAGAGAUUUGAAUAAAGAACGAGAGUUUACUUUCUUAAGUUCGUUGUUCGUGAUUAUAUUUAUCAAUUGUGUCUCCCUAACAUUAUACUAUUAUUCCUCCUGUGCAAUUUAGAAGUUAAAACCCAUCGGUCCUUUAACUCCCCAGACAAACAGCACCAAUGGAAGAAGCAAAGCCAGCCGAGUCCACAGCUACCCAAGUCCUCCCAACCCCUCUGAGCUCCGCCGAAGUUCUCCCUGUAUAGCCUCCUCCGUCUUCUCUUCCUCCCAAGACCAAGAAGAGACCCCUUGAAAAUGAUGCUCUUUUCUCCAACUCAUCCACCCUCUACAGGGUUCGCAGCGUCCUCAAAGAGGUCCGUCCUCAUUUCGAGGUUCUCCAGACCCCUGACUUUGGAACAUGCAAGCCAUCCGAAGAAAUUCAAGAAUAUGUGGAGCUUCUGAUGGAACUUUGCAAACAGAUGAUGGCAGAAACAGUUUCGGCAACAAGAAGUAAGAGUGCAGCAGCUGAAAAGCCCCAAGAUACAAGGGCUUUUGGGAAGCCAUCAGAAAAUAAGUUUCCAUCAGGUGUAGCCAGUGAGAAGCAGCGGGGUGAAGAUGGUCAGACUCAAGGGACAUAUAUUGUUGGUGGGUCUGCUUUUUUCUGGAAUUUCAUUAUAUUUGUAGGCGAAGAACCAGUCUACUAUGGAAUAACAAAGGAGUCAUUUUGAG
Molecule: long non-coding RNA, 912 nt
Organism: Pyrus x bretschneideri (Chinese white pear)
Lineage: Eukaryota; Viridiplantae; Streptophyta; Magnoliopsida; Rosales; Rosaceae
Exons: 3
Source: RefSeq, a predicted model, not a curated record